This 408-nucleotide ribosomal RNA is filed under the name uncultured bacterium. Its description in RNAcentral is "partial 16S ribosomal RNA". It matches the Rfam family "Bacterial small subunit ribosomal RNA", at positions 28 to 526 of the family's 1533-position model. The record is from RNAcentral.
GACGAACGCUGGCGGCGUGCUUAACACAUGCAAGUCGAACGGAGUGGCGAACGGGUGAGUAACACGUGGGUGAUCUGCCUUGCACUUCGGGAUAAGCUUGGGAAACUGGGUCUAAUACCGGAUAGUGCAAGAUGAGCUCGCGGCCUAUCAGCUUGUUGGUGGGGGAAUGGCCUACCAAGGCGUCGACGGGUAGCCGGCCUGAGAGGGGGUACGGCCACAUGGGUACUACGAUACGGACCAGGCUCCGACGGGGGGCAACGGUGGGGAAUACUGCACAGUGGGCGGGAGCCUGAUGCAGAGACGCCGGGUGGGGGAUGAAGGCCUUCGGGUUGUAAACUCCUUUCGACAGGGACGCGGUACCUGUAUAAGAAGCACCGGCUAACUACGUGCCAGCAGCCGCGGUAAUAC